This 183-nucleotide ribosomal RNA is filed under the name uncultured bacterium. RNAcentral's name for it is "partial 16S ribosomal RNA". It matches the Rfam family "Bacterial small subunit ribosomal RNA", at positions 1318 to 1500 of the family's 1533-position model. The record is from RNAcentral.
GCACGAAGCCGGAAUCGCUAGUAAUCGCAGAUCAGCAUGCUGCGGUGAAUACGUUCCCGGGUCUUGUACACACCGCCCGUCACACCAUGGGAGUCGGAAAUGCCCGAAGUCAGUGGCCCAACCGCAAGGAGGGAGCUGCCGAAGGCAGGUCCGGUGACUGGGGUGAAGUCGUAACAAGGUAUC